RNAcentral lists this ribosomal RNA (253 nucleotides) under uncultured bacterium. RNAcentral's name for it is "partial 16S ribosomal RNA". It matches the Rfam family "Bacterial small subunit ribosomal RNA", at positions 524 to 776 of the family's 1533-position model. The record is from RNAcentral.
UACAGAGGUGGCAAGCGUUGUUCGGAAUUACUGGGCGUAAAGGGCGCGUAGGCGGUCAUCUAAGUCAGACGUGAAAUCCCCCGGCUUAACCUGGGAACUGCGUCUGAUACUGGACGGCUUGAGUAUGGGAGAGGGAUGUAGAAUUCCAGGUGUAGCGGUGAAAUGCGUAGAUAUCUGGAGGAAUACCGGUGGCGAAGGCGGCAUCCUGGACCAUUACUGACGCUGAGGCGCGAAAGCUAGGGGAGCAAACGGG